GCAAAAAAAAUAAUUACUAUUGAUAACUGAUAUUUAUCAGUGCACUGCUCAAUACGUCCUAUAUGGGUAAUUUAAUUAAAAAUGACAAAUGUUAACUGGCUGUUCCAGAACAAAUAGGAUAUUGCCUAACACAGAGCUGAAAAAAAAAGGUAAUGCAAAAAUCCCAAUUGCAAAAUCACACGGAGGACAUUUUAGAAAAUAUGACCUCAACAUGAGUCAAUUCAGGGCCUUGAUUGGAGUUUUUGUAGGAACAACAGAUUAGAUACAGCCCAAUGUAUUGGCCAGCUAACUCCUCAAAGAGAUCUAUUUAUGGCACACUGCCCUGGCACUUGGCACCAAGAAACAAGCAGAGACCCAAAACGACCAGGGCAAAAUUCACUCAAAGAAAACCCUCUCUUUCUGUUUCUUUUCGUGUUCCCAGUCCAAAGAGAGAGGCUGCUUUACCUUGUAGUGAUGGCAAUGGCGAAGCUUGUUUGUGUCUUGCUUCUUGCUAUCCUUGGCAUUUCCAUGGCUGCAACCCAGGUAAAGUUCACGUUGCCUUUUAUGCACAAUCUGGAAUCUCCAUUGCUCCGACCAUGUCCUCAAUAAACGAACAAAAUUUUCUUGAACAUUCUUGCAGGUUAUGGCAAAAGAUACUCAGUACCAUCUUGACAGGGUAAGUAUUUUCAAUUUCCUCUUUCUUUUCGCAUCUCUUUCAAAAUUUAUGGGUUAUCAAAUAAAAGUCCUCCAAUUAACAGUAUGACAAAAUUUUAUAAUUUUCAGGGGAAUUAUGGA
Molecule: unclassified non-coding RNA, 774 nt
Filed under: Hevea brasiliensis (rubber tree)
Lineage: Eukaryota; Viridiplantae; Streptophyta; Magnoliopsida; Malpighiales; Euphorbiaceae
Source: RNAcentral